This 910-nucleotide ribosomal RNA is filed under the name Bacillus subtilis subsp. subtilis. RNAcentral's name for it is "bacterial SSU rRNA". It matches the Rfam family "Bacterial small subunit ribosomal RNA", at positions 53 to 941 of the family's 1533-position model. The record is from RNAcentral. Lineage: Bacteria; Bacillati; Bacillota; Bacilli; Caryophanales; Bacillaceae.
ACAUGCAAGUCGAGCGGACAGAUGGGAGCUUGCUCCCUGAUGUUAGCGGCGGACGGGUGAGUAACACGUGGGUAACCUGCCUGUAAGACUGGGAUAACUCCGGGAAACCGGGGCUAAUACCGGAUGGUUGUUUGAACCGCAUGGUUCAAACAUAAAAGGUGGCUUCGGCUACCACUUACAGAUGGACCCGCGGCGCAUUAGCUAGUUGGUGAGGUAACGGCUCACCAAGGCAACGAUGCGUAGCCGACCUGAGAGGGUGAUCGGCCACACUGGGACUGAGACACGGCCCAGACUCCUACGGGAGGCAGCAGUAGGGAAUCUUCCGCAAUGGACGAAAGUCUGACGGAGCAACGCCGCGUGAGUGAUGAAGGUUUUCGGAUCGUAAAGCUCUGUUGUUAGGGAAGAACAAGUACCGUUCGAAUAGGGCGGUACCUUGACGGUACCUAACCAGAAAGCCACGGCUAACUACGUGCCAGCAGCCGCGGUAAUACGUAGGUGGCAAGCGUUGUCCGGAAUUAUUGGGCGUAAAGGGCUCGCAGGCGGUUUCUUAAGUCUGAUGUGAAAGCCCCCGGCUCAACCGGGGAGGGUCAUUGGAAACUGGGGAACUUGAGUGCAGAAGAGGAGAGUGGAAUUCCACGUGUAGCGGUGAAAUGCGUAGAGAUGUGGAGGAACACCAGUGGCGAAGGCGACUCUCUGGUCUGUAACUGACGCUGAGGAGCGAAAGCGUGGGGAGCGAACAGGAUUAGAUACCCUGGUAGUCCACGCCGUAAACGAUGAGUGCUAAGUGUUAGGGGGUUUCCGCCCCUUAGUGCUGCAGCUAACGCAUUAAGCACUCCGCCUGGGGGAGUACGGUCGCAAGACUGAAACUCAAAGGAAUUUGACGGGGGCCCGCACAAGCGGGUGGAGCAUG